AGAGUUUUGUGUUUUUUUUUCUCCCCAAUUUCCUCUUUGUCCUUAACAGUGUCUCGGUGUUUGCAUAUAACAGAGUCUCACUGUUUCCAGUCUUUUCCCUUCAGGCUCCUUACUCAUCCUUUCCUUUUGAUAUCUUUUUCCUAAAGUUCUGUUCGUUCACCUUUCUAUUAACCCUUCCCCGCUCACCUCUUUAAUUUACCUUCUCUCUCACUCUUGUUUCAGCCAUUUUUGCUUCCUUCACCUCAUGCAUCUCUGUGUUCUUAUUCCAAUGACUGACUAAGUUUACUCUAUAAAUCCCUCAUUUUUCCCCCUCCUUCCUCUCUUUCAU
This is a non-coding RNA of Pelobates cultripes (western spadefoot toad), 328 nucleotides long. NCBI's taxonomy places the organism in Eukaryota, Metazoa, Chordata, Amphibia, Anura, Pelobatidae. The record is from the annotation of a GenBank genome assembly.